RNAcentral lists this ribosomal RNA (497 nucleotides) under uncultured bacterium. RNAcentral's name for it is "partial 16S ribosomal RNA". It matches the Rfam family "Bacterial small subunit ribosomal RNA", at positions 28 to 507 of the family's 1533-position model. The record is from RNAcentral.
GAUGAACGCUGGCGGCGUGCCUAAUACAUGCAAGUCGAGCGAACAGACGAGGUACUUGUACCUCUUACGUGAGCAGCGAACGGGUGAGUAACACGUGGAUAACCUGCCUAUAAGCGGGGGACAACUUCGGGAAACGAGUGCUAAUACCGGAUAAUAUCUUUAACCACAUGUUUCAAUAGUGAAAGACGGUUUUGCUUCACCUAAUGAAGAUAUCCCGGCUGCUUAGGUUAGUGGUGAGGUUAACGGCUUACAAGGGGAAGGAAGCUUAGCCGACCGGAGAGGUGGAUAGCCCAAACGGGAACUGGAACACGCCCAAGACUCCUAGGGGAGGAGCCAGUAGGGAAUCUUGGGCAAUGGGCGAAAGCUUGACGGAGCAAGCCGGGGGGGUUGAUAAAGGUCUUCGGAUCGUAAACCUCGGUUAUAGGGGAGGAACAAAUGUGUAAUGAAAUGCGCACGUAGUGACGGUACCUACUCAGAAAGCCACGGCUAACUACGUG